RNAcentral lists this ribosomal RNA (888 nucleotides) under uncultured fungus. Its description in RNAcentral is "eukaryotic LSU rRNA". The stretch from base 439 to 592 matches the Rfam family "5.8S ribosomal RNA". Lineage: Eukaryota; Fungi. The record is from RNAcentral.
UUCUUGGUCAUUUAGAGGAAGUAAAAGUCGUAACAAGGUUUCCGUAGGUGAACCUGCGGAAGGAUCAUUAAAGAAAUUUAACAAUUUUGAAAAUGGAUUUUUUUUUUUUUGUUUUGGCAAGAGCAUGAGAGCUUUUACUGGGCAAGAAGACAAGAGAUGGAGAGUCCAGCCGGGCCUGCGCUUAAGUGCGCGGUCUUGCUAGGCUUGUAAGUUUCUUUCUUGCUAUUCCAAACGGUGAGAGAUUUCUGUGCUUUUGUUAUAGGACAAUUAAAACCGUUUCAAUACAACACACUGUGGAGUUUUCAUAUCUUUGCAACUUUUUCUUUGGGCAUUCGAGCAAUCGGGGCCCAGAGGUAACAAACACAAACAAUUUUAUCUAUUCAUUAAAUUUUUGUCAAAAACAAGAAUUUUCGUAACUGGAAAUUUUAAAAUAUUAAAAACUUUCAGCAACGGAUCUCUUGGUUCUCGCAUCGAUGAAGAACGCAGCGAAAUGCGAUACGUAAUGUGAAUUGCAGAAUUCCGUGAAUCAUCGAAUCUUUGAACGCACAUUGCGCCCCUUGGUAUUCCAGGGGGCAUGCCUGUUUGAGCGUCAUUUCCUUCUCAAACAUUCUGUUUGGUAGUGAGUGAUACUCUUUGGAGUUAACUUGAAAUUGCUGGCCUUUUCAUUGGAUGUUUUUUUUCCAAAGAGAGGUUUCUCUGCGUGCUUGAGGUAUAAUGCAAGUACGGUCGUUUUAGGUUUUACCAACUGCGGCUAAUCUUUUUUUAUACUGAGCGUAUUGGAACGUUAUCGAUAAGAAGAGAGCGUCUAGGCGAACAAUGUUCUUAAAGUUUGACCUCAAAUCAGGUAGGAGUACCCGCUGAACUUAAGCAUAUCAAUAAGCGGAGGAA